This 260-nucleotide long non-coding RNA is filed under the name Setaria viridis. RNAcentral describes it as "long non-coding RNA (SVIR_LNC004172)". The record is from RNAcentral. Lineage: Eukaryota; Viridiplantae; Streptophyta; Magnoliopsida; Poales; Poaceae.
CCAACUCUAUCUUCUUCCUCUAAUGGAAGUAUGGCACGAGCCCCCUAGAAACUGGUGGUUUCUCUCCAAUGGCGAUUUCAUGGUUUCUUGUUGCAUUGGGUGAAAAGAAGACCUUAUUUCUUCAUGAGGAAACCAUUUCUAGAAUUUUUACUCUCUUUCUUCAUUAAUUAUGUUGCCAUGUCAGCAUUUUGCCUACGUGGCAAGUCAUUUAAUGAGGAUAGAAACCAUCAUCAAUACACCACUGGAACUGCCCUAAUACC